UGGGUGAGAAGUAAGGUUUCAGCUAGCAUGACCCUCUAACUUUUCCAGAGGAAGAGCUGCUCCCUGUGAAGGAUGUCAAAGCUCUGUUUGUAUCUGAGGAAGGGAAGAAGCUGACUCGGAAGGAGGUGUACAUCAAGAAUGGGGACAAGAAAGCCAGUUGUGAGAGAGAUGCUACCAAGGCCCAAGGCUAUGAGAAGGUCAAAGCUGCCUCGGAGGUGGUCACCCCCAGGUUCCUUUGCACAGGAGGGGUGGACCCCUAUGCCGACCCCAACACAUGCAAAGGAGACUCCGGGGGCCCUCUCAUUGUUCACAAGAGAAGUCGCUUCAUUCAAGUUGGUGUCAUCAGCUGGGGAGUAGUGGAUGUCUGCAAAGACCGCCUGAGGCGGCCACGGCAGAUCCCCUCGUAUGCCCGGGACUUCCACGUCAAUCUCUUCCAGGUGCUGCCCUGGCUAAAGGACAAGCUCAAAGAUGAGGAUCUGGGUUUCCUAUAGAGCGUCCUGCUGGGAGGGGGUGAGGACAAAUUAAAGCAGCUACAAUAAAAAGUC
Molecule: long non-coding RNA, 545 nt
Organism: Grammomys surdaster
Lineage: Eukaryota; Metazoa; Chordata; Mammalia; Rodentia; Muridae
Exons: 4
Source: RefSeq, a predicted model, not a curated record